This 468-nucleotide ribosomal RNA is filed under the name uncultured bacterium. RNAcentral's name for it is "partial 16S ribosomal RNA". It matches the Rfam family "Bacterial small subunit ribosomal RNA", at positions 28 to 507 of the family's 1533-position model. The record is from RNAcentral.
GACGAACGCUGGCGGCGUGCUUAACACAUGCAAGUCGAACGGAAAGGCCCUUCUUUUGUGGGUUGCUCGAGUGGCGAACGGGUGUGUAACACGUGAGUAACCUGCCCUUGACUUUGGGAUAACUUCAGUAAACUGGGGCUAAUACCGGAUAGGAGCUCCUGCUGCAUGGUGUGGGUUGGAUAGUUUCGGCGUUUGGGGAUGGACUCGCGGCUUAUCAGCUUGUUGGUGGGGUAGUGGCUUACCAAGGCUUUGACGGGUAGCCGACCUGAGAGGGUUACCGGCCACAGUGGGACUGAGAUACGGCCCAGACUACUACGGGAGGCAGCAGGGGGGAAUAUUGCACAAGGGGCGGAAGGCUGAUGCAGAAACGCAGCGGGCGGGAUGACGGCCUUCGGGUUGUAAAACGCAUUCGCAUGUGACGAAGCGUGAGUGACGGUAAUGGGUAAAGAAGCACCGGCUAACUACGUG